RNAcentral lists this ribosomal RNA (496 nucleotides) under uncultured bacterium. Its description in RNAcentral is "bacterial SSU rRNA". It matches the Rfam family "Bacterial small subunit ribosomal RNA", at positions 28 to 507 of the family's 1533-position model. The record is from RNAcentral.
GACGAACGCUGGCGGCGUGGAUUAGGCAUGCAAGUCGGACGGUAGGGCUUUAUCGUAAGAUAGAGUUUGAGAGUGGCGAAUGGGUAGAGUAACACGUAGGAAUCUACCCUUAAGACGGGGGACAACCCAGGGAAACUUGGGCUAAUACCGGAUGAGAGUGCGAGAGAUUGCAUUUAAAAGGAUGGCGAAAGUUAUCGCUUAGGGAUGAGCCUGCGGUCUAUUAGUUAGUUGGUGGGGUAAGAGCUCACCAAGGCGAUGAUAGAUAGGCGGCCUUAACGGGUGGUCGCCCACACUGGGAUUGAGAUACGGCCCAGACUCCUACGGGAGGCAGCAGUCGAGAAUAGUCUACAAUGGCCGGAAGGCUGAUAGUGCGACGCCGCGUGAACGAGGGAGCCCUUCGGGGUGUAAAGUUCUUUUCUAUACGAGCAGUGCUAUAUAUAUGGAUAGUAUAUAUAGAGGGAUAGUAGUAUAGGAAUAAGCAACGGCUAACUCCGUG